Molecule: non-coding RNA, 21 nt
Filed under: Arabidopsis thaliana (thale cress)
Lineage: Eukaryota; Viridiplantae; Streptophyta; Magnoliopsida; Brassicales; Brassicaceae
Source: RNAcentral
AGUGAAGAAACAAUGUCACCA